GAUGAACGCUGGCGGCGUGCCUAAUACAUGCAAGUCGAGCGAACAGAUGAGGAGCUUGCUCCUCUGACGUUAGCGGCGGACGGGUGAGUAACACGUGGAUAACCUACCUAUAAGACUGGGAUAACUUCGGGAAACCGGAGCUAAUACCGGAUAAUAUAUUGAACCGCAUGGUUCAAUAGUGAAAGACGGAUUUGCUGUCACUUAUAGAUGGAUCCGCGCCGCAUUAGCUAGUUGGUAAGGUAACGGCUUACCAAGGCAACGAUGCGUAGCCGACCUGAGAGAGUGAUCGGCCACACUGGAACUGAGACACGGUCCAGACUCCUACGGGAGGCAGCAGUAGGGAAUCUUCCGCAAUGGGCGAAAGCUUGACGGAGCAACGCCGCGUGAGUGAUGAAGGUCUUCUGAUCGUAAAACUCUGUUAUUAGGGAAGAACAAAUGUGUAAGUAACUAUGCACGUCUUGACGGUACCUAAUCAGAAAGCCACGGCUAACUACGUG
RNAcentral lists this ribosomal RNA (497 nucleotides) under uncultured bacterium. Its description in RNAcentral is "partial 16S ribosomal RNA". It matches the Rfam family "Bacterial small subunit ribosomal RNA", at positions 28 to 507 of the family's 1533-position model. The record is from RNAcentral.